AGUAUUGGCAUCGAGAUUGAAGGGAAGACCUGUGAUAUGGAAGCGCAUGGAGCUCAUUCUGAACGAAAUCAGAGGUUGGAGGAGAAUGAGAUGUUUGGGUGAGGAGGCAAGAGAGAACCAGAAUGCGAGUGGAAGGGGAGCUGGAUGAAAUAAAAGAGCUCGGAAAGGAUGUGGAAUGGGAUGAGGAAAAUGAACAAUUCCACACCGAGAAUAAAGCGGCACACAAGUUGUUUGUUCAUCUAUUUGCAGGCUGGAUGUAAAGAGUAAACAGGAGGGGGCAGAGGUGAAUGCCAACAAUUGUACAAAACCGGCACGAAGUUCCAACAUGAACAGCUUUUUCUCCCUUGAGUCAAGUUUGCAAAUCAAUUGCAACGUCACUUCCGAUCGCCCUUGCAGUGGGUGGAGUAACUGCACGCUUCGGGGUGGAGUCUAUGGAAGUUCAGGUCAGAGGCUCCAAGAUGAAUUGGACCAGGGUAAUAAGGACAUGCACAGACAAAUCAAUAAAUGACCACAACUAAUAGCCCUCCGAAUCCGUGGAUGAGUUUGAAUUGCGCAAAAACCCAGAAAAAAAGAAUUGGCAUCAAGAUUGAAGGGAUGACCUGUGAUAUGGAGGUCAUUUUGAAGGAAAUGAGAGGUUGGAGGAUGAUGAGACGUUUGGGUGAGGAGGCAAGAAAGAGAACCAGAAUGGGAAUGGAAGGGGAGCUGGAUGAAAGAGAAGAGUUUGGAAGGACGUGGAAUGGGAUGAGGAAAAGGAAGAAUUCCACAUCAAGAAUAAAGCGCCACAGAUAAGUUGUUUGUUAAUCUAUUGGCAGGGCGGAUGUAAACAGGAAGGGGCAGAGUACGGAGCUUUGCCUUGGUUGACAGUUGCUAUGGAAGGUAGUUUGGUGGUAGGUCUGAUUGUAAUGAGGGCAGGCAUUGAAAGUGUCCGUAGAGUUGAUAGUUGGACGUGGUGGUUGUUGCGAAGGAAGGUUGAGAUGGUCGGCAGGUUGUUUGGCUUGUUUCAGUCUCGAGCUGCUCUUUGUUUUGAGUAGACGUUUACAGUGUAGACUUUAAAUGACUUAUCAAGUUGAUCAAAACAAAACUGAAUAGUUUUUUAGGGUGAAGACCAACAAUUGUUACACAACGGGCACGCAGUUCCAAGAUGAACAGCAUCUUCUCC
Molecule: long non-coding RNA, 1159 nt
Organism: Phyllopteryx taeniolatus (common seadragon)
Lineage: Eukaryota; Metazoa; Chordata; Actinopteri; Syngnathiformes; Syngnathidae
Exons: 10
Source: RefSeq, a predicted model, not a curated record